RNAcentral lists this ribosomal RNA (253 nucleotides) under uncultured bacterium. Its description in RNAcentral is "partial 16S ribosomal RNA". It matches the Rfam family "Bacterial small subunit ribosomal RNA", at positions 524 to 776 of the family's 1533-position model. The record is from RNAcentral.
UACGUAGGGUGCGAGCGUUGUCCGGAAUUAUUGGGCGUAAAGGGCUCGUAGGCGGUUUGUCGCGUCGGGAGUGAAAACCACAUGCUUAACAUGUGGCUUGCUUUCGAUACGGGCAGACUAGAGGUAUGCAGGGGAGAACGGAAUUCCUGGUGUAGCGGUGAAAUGCGCAGAUAUCAGGAGGAACACCGGUGGCGAAGGCGGUUCUCUGGGCAUUACCUGACGCUGAGGAGCGAAAGUGUGGGGAGCGAACAGG